This 400-nucleotide ribosomal RNA is filed under the name Pelobates cultripes (western spadefoot toad). RNAcentral describes it as "SSU_rRNA_microsporidia". It matches the Rfam family "Eukaryotic small subunit ribosomal RNA", at positions 113 to 473 of the family's 1831-position model. The record is from RNAcentral. Lineage: Eukaryota; Metazoa; Chordata; Amphibia; Anura; Pelobatidae.
UCACAAACUUUUUCUUGCAACUGUAUAUAUAUAUAUAUAUAUAUAUAUAUAUAUAUAUAUAUUUUAUUUAUUUUUUUCAUUGGGGUAGCCACCAAAAUAUUGGGACAUAUAAAAAAGACAACUCUGUUCUGCAGAGUAGCUGUUGACAUUAUAGUUGCGCAGGCACUUUGUUGACUCUAGAGAACCUCGGGCCAAUCACACACCCCCGUGACAGCGACUUUGCAUUUUGAUGUCAUCCAUAUCAACUUUCAAUGCCAGUUUCUGCGCCUACCAUGGUGACCAUGGGUAACGGGGAAUCAGAGUUCCAUUCCGUACAGGGACCCUGAGAAACGGCUACCACAUGCAAGGAAGGUAGCAGGCGCGCAAAUGACCCACUCCCGACGCGGGAAGGUAGUGACGA